UACAGAGGUCCCAAGCGUUGUUCGGAUUCACUGGGCGUAAAGGGUGCGUAGGUGGUGGGGUAAGUCGGAUGUGAAAGCUCGGAGCUCAACUCCGAAAUGGCAUUGGAAACUACCCUGCUAGAGGGUCGGAGGGGGGACUGGAAUUCUCGGUGUAGCAGUGAAAUGCGUAGAUAUCGAGAGGAACACCAGUGGCGAAGGCGAGUCCCUGGACGACUCCUGACACUGAGGCACGAAAGCUAGGGGAGCAAACAGG
RNAcentral lists this ribosomal RNA (253 nucleotides) under uncultured bacterium. RNAcentral describes it as "partial 16S ribosomal RNA". It matches the Rfam family "Bacterial small subunit ribosomal RNA", at positions 524 to 776 of the family's 1533-position model. The record is from RNAcentral.